UUACAUUUGAAAAUCUUGUGGAAUAAAUAUAGAACAGAUCAGCUCUUGAAAAAGGAAUGUGUUUUUUAAAGAAUGUUUGAAAUUUUUUCAGUGACAAAUACUCUCUGAUCUUUGGGGUAGGAGGAGUAGUCAUUAAAAAGUGGAAGUAGGUUAAUGCACUUUGCUCCAGUUCUCACUUGCUGACUCUCCCCGAGUCUGAGUAAUGACUACAACUACACAAUACAUAACCCAAAUUUUCCACCUCCAGUGGGGCGUUUGUCCUAAGGCUGUUGCUAAACAACAAAAUUGCCUCAAGUGACUGUGCUCCUGUGCAAGAAAUUAUUUUCAACAGCCUGAAGCGUAACAGAAUGUUUUAUGUGACAAGUUUAAGAAAUGUUGCUUAUCAGAUGGCACAGGAGUCAGUUUCUACCUCUGCUUCCAAUCUGAUCUGUCUGGUUUGAAUAUUUGUAAAAAAAAAACAACAAAAAACACCACCAACAAAAAAAGUUCAUCAUAUUUUCUCUGCCUCUUCCAGAUACAGUGUCAAACUAAUACAUAAAUAAAGUUGCCUUUCAAAGCGUGGAUACCUUAAUGUUGACACCCUGCAGUUCUGCCUUAGACAUCUACCAGCUCCCCUGGAUUAGUACAAACGUUUAAAGAAAUGCAGAGUCAAACCCUGUCCAAGAAGAAGAACUGAACAAUUACAAUGGCAGAUUUCCCCGCUUUGCUUUCUCCUGCUCCCCACAAUCUACCGCCCAUGGAUUUCAUUUUCUCAAUCCGUGGAGAUUUUGCUUCCAGAUUCUCUUGGCAGCCUCCGCCCUUCUCUCUCUUUGUGAGUGUCCUGCACAUUCAGGCUGCGCUUUUAUAUUAGGAUUGAAUUGGAACACCACACUGCGGCCAUUGACGUCAGGUUUCCUGAGUGACUACUGAAAUGUGAGGAAGUAUGCCUCCCAUAGGGUGAGUAUUUCUAGCGAAGUCACCAGUGCAGGCUGGUCCACCUGCUAAGUGACCCCUUGGUCUCUGUCUGGCCUUCUGUGGAGUGGUAACA
This is a non-coding RNA of Miniopterus natalensis, 1027 nucleotides long. Lineage: Eukaryota; Metazoa; Chordata; Mammalia; Chiroptera; Miniopteridae. The record is from RefSeq and is a predicted model, not a curated record.